GAGGGUAACUUCCGCGGCCCACGGACGCGCGGGGCUUUUUGCCCCGUGGGUGGGUGAGGUACCGGCCGCCGGCAUGCUCCUCCGCCUGCUCCUGCUGCUUGCGUUGUGCGGUGCGGGCUCCGCUGCCAUGGUGGUCAGCGUCAGCUUGCGGGGAAGCUGGAGGAUCCGCAGCGGGAACGGCUCGCUGGAGUUGCCCGCGGAGGUUCCCGGUUGCGUGCACAGCGCCUUGUUCCACCAGAGGCUCAUCCAGGAUCCUUACUACAGAUUUAAUAACCUUAACUACAGAUGGAUCGCCUUGGAUAACUGGACCUAUAUGAAGAAAUUUAAAAUCCCUUUUGACGUGAGCAAACGGCGUAAAGUAAAUUUGGUUUUUGAAGGCGUCGAUACGGUUACAGUAGUCCUGCUCAAUAAUGUUCCUGUUGGCGAAACAGACAACACGUUCAGAAGCUAUAGCUUUGAUAUUACACAUGUGGUCCAAGCAGUAAACGUCAUUGAGGUGCAUUUCCAGUCACCAGUGAUAUAUGCGGACCAGAGGAGUAAAGUUCACACUCACUACAGCGUGCCCCCCAACUGCCCUCCGCGUGUGCAGGAUGGCGAAUGCCAUGUCAACUUUAUUCGCAAGGCACAGUGUUCCUUUAGUUGGGACUGGGGGCCUUCCUUUCCUACCCAGGGCAUCUGGAAAGAUGUUAGAAUUGAAGCCUAUAAUAUUUGUCAUCUGAACUACUUCACAUUUACCCCCGUAUAUGAUAACAAUAUCCAGGAGUGGAAUCUUGAAAUAGAGUCUUCUUUUGAUGUAAUUAGUUCAAAGCCAGUUUUGGGUCAAGCGAUUAUAGCCAUCCCUGAAUUAAAAAUACAACAGACAAACAGCGUUGAACUUCAUCAUGGGGAAAGGAUUGUUAAACUCUUUGUGAAAAUUGACAAGAGUGUUACUAUAGAAACUUGGUGGCCUCAUGGACAUGGAAACCAGACUGGGUACAACAUGACAGUUCUUUUUAAGCUGGAUGGAGGCUUAAGUUUUGAAAAAUCAGCUAAGGUUUACUUUAGGACAGUGGAACUUAUAGAAGAGCCGAUAAAAGGGUCUCAUGGUCUGAGUUUCUACUUCAAAAUUAAUGGACUUCCCAUAUUUCUGAAAGGCUCGAAUUGGAUCCCCGCAGAUUCAUUCCAGGAUCGAGUAACCUCUGCCUUAUUACGCCUCCUUUUGCAGUCUGUUGUGGACGCUAACAUGAAUGUUCUCCGGGUCUGGGGAGGAGGAAUUUAUGAGCAGGAUGCAUUCUAUGAACUCUGUGAUGAACUAGGAAUAAUGGUAUGGCAGGAUUUUAUGUUUGCCUGUGCGCUUUACCCAACUGAUCAGGAUUUCAUGGAUUCAGUGAGAGCAGAAGUUGCUUACCAGGUCAGGAGACUGAAAUCUCAUCCCUCCAUCAUCACAUGGAGUGGAAAUAAUGAAAAUGAAGCAGCGCUGGUGUUGAAUUGGUAUGAUAUACAGUCCAGCCACCUGUCUACCUACAUCGAUGAUUACGUGACACUGUAUGUGAAAAACAUCCGAAGGAUCGUCUUCGAAGGAGACCAGACUCGUCCUUUUAUCACAUCCAGUCCUACAAAUGGGGCUAAAUCCACUGCAGAAGGCUGGCUCUCUGAAAACCCAUAUGACCCGAAUUAUGGUGACGUACAUUUUUAUGACUAUGUUGGUGAUUGCUGGAAUUGGAAAAUUUUCCCCAAAGCUCGAUUUGUAUCUGAAUAUGGAUAUCAGUCCUGGCCUUCCUUCAGUACAUUAGAAAAGGUUUCAUCUAAAGAGGACUGGUCUUACGAAAGCAAAUUUGCACAUCAUAGACAACAUUUCACAGAUGGUAACUAUAAAAUGCUUCACCAGGCUGAGCUUCACUUCAAACUCCCCCAAAGUGCAGAUCAAUUACGCAAGUUCAAAGACACUAUUUAUCUUACUCAGGUGAUGCAGGCCCAGUGUGUCAAAACAGAAACUGAAUUCUACCGUCGCAGUCGCAGCGAGAUAGUGUAUGGAGAAGGGCACACCAUGGGGGCACUUUAUUGGCAGUUGAAUGACAUCUGGCAGGCUCCUUCCUGGUCUUCUCUAGAGUAUGGAGGAAAGUGGAAAAUGCUUCAUUAUUUUGCUCGGCAUUUCUUCGCUCCGCUGUUGCCAGUGGGUUUUGAGAAUGAAGGUGUGUUUUUCAUCUAUGGUGUGUCAGACCUUCACUCAGACCACAAGAUGAUGCUUACCGUGAGAGUCCACACAUGGAGUUCCCUGGAGCCCGUGUGCUCUGAGACGACGAAGCCUUUUGUGAUGAAAGCAGGGGGGUCUGCUCUUCUCUAUGAUAAGCCAGUAGCUGAGUUAUUAAGAGGAUGUACAAAUUGUACACGACAGAGCUGUGUGGUUUCCUUUUACCUGUCAAGUGACAGGGAGCCCUUGAGCCCAACCAACUAUCACUUCCUGUCCUCACCAAAGGAGGCCAAGGGGCUCCACAAGGCAAAUAUCACCGCCGCCAUCUCUCAGCAAGGGGACACAUUUGUUUUUCAUCUGAAAACCUCAGCUGUUGCUCCCUUUGUUUGGUUGGAUGUAGGAAGCAUCCCAGGGAGAUUCAGUGACAAUGGUUUUCUCAUGACUGAGAAGACACGGACUGUAUUCUUUUACCCUUGGAAACCCACCAACGAGAGUGAAUUGGAGCGAUCUUUUCAUGUGACUUCACUGGCCGAUAUUUACUGAGGGAAUCCAGGUUGUAUUUGCAGAAGCUGAAGGCAACCAGAACCAAGUUGAAGAAGCCAGGAAAUGCGUCUGCUUGCUGUCAGGUGUCUGCAUAACCACUUGGUGAAGAGUUUGUACAGUGCAUUCUCCCAGGGAAGGUUGUGUACUCAGGUGAUGUCCUCCUCCAACAAAGCUGUGCCUAGGUGCCGUCCAGUCUGCACCAGGACUGUGGUUUUAGCCCAUUCCCCCACAGCUUUUGCACCACAUGAACCAGUUAUAACCCAACUGCCUCUCCAAGCCCCAGAAGGAGGUCUGUCCACAUGCAGCCCUUUAAGGGAAUCACAGUGGUUAUGCAGACAUUAAUAGAAUGGGAAGACCAGCAUCCGGUCCUUCUGCUCUGUGGCUGCAAAGCACAUUCCAGAGAGUGAGAUGGAAAGAGGUCAGCUCACAGGAUUGCAUCUUCCCAGUUUAGAAUCAAGAAAACAGCAAAAAUGACAGAGGUUACUGAAUCCUGCCAUGAAAAGAAAGUAUGCAACAAUGAUGCAGCUGAACUCCUUAGGUCAGGUCUCAGCCUUUGCACGGGAUUUAUUGAGCACCAGCUUGUGCCGCGUUGUGCUAUGUAUGCAGUGUGGAAAUGAUUUUGCCCUUGGUGAUGGCCAUUUACCAUGAUUGCAGGUGACUCAGAGUGAGUGGAUGUUUGCACACAAGUUGGAACUCGAAGGAACUUCAGGUUCAAUCUCCAUCCUUUAGAAUUUUUGAACAAGUAAUAUGGGAUAGUGAGUGACCACUCACUGUAGUGCCUGGCAGGUGACAGAUGCUCAAGAAAUCUAGACUGAAUACAUAUCUUCGUUCCUUGAGGGUUUUUGUGAUAUCUUAAUGAAAUAAUCAUUUUGGAGAGAGAUAUCAACAUGGAAAAGCUAACUGUUGGAGGACUUCAGGUAUGGCUAAAGAACAACCUGUGGAAUCAGACACACCUGGAUUUGAAUGUGGGGAAGGGCCCUCCCACCCCAGCAAGGUGACACCAGUGCUGAAACUGAACGGCAAGAAGGAGCCUGCCAGGAGUCUACCUUCAGCUGAAAAAUCAUAUGUUAACAAAUCAAAUCAAGGCUAUGGUUUUACUGAAGAAGUUUAAAUAAACUGCCCAAUAGAAACCAGUUAACAAAGGUGCUGUCAUUCUAUACUGACAUGGAAAAAAAUGUGCUAAAUUAACAACCACUGUUCCGUGGACUGGCUCCAGGAGACCAAUCGCUAGAACUCUGCCCCCCCUUUAGAGGAUUCUCAGUCAUACUAGGACCAAAGAACUACCGCUCACCAAGAGGCCUCGGAGGGACAAACAAGCUGAGCUGCUGACACCUAAUAGGUGUGUAAACAGUCCAUUGGAUUACCCUGCCCACGAAGCAGUACCUCAGUGAAUGCAAAUGAGAUGUUUUGAAAACUGCGUGUUCUCAAAAUCAGUAAGACAAACACAAUCAUGGAAGUAUCUUUCAAAGAACUGAGGCCACUGACACAGAACAGCAAUGUAUUUUUAUACAAAUCAGUCUAUUUCACAGAAGCCUGUGAAAUCCAGCCUGUUUAGUGACAAUUUGCCUCAACUUUCCUUCUCAGUAAGCAGUUAGUGGCUGUAGCAGUGACAACAGGUGGGCCAACAACAUCCUGGCCGGGGCACGGCACGUGUAAACAGGAUGAAAGAUGCUUGUGCUGACUAAGUCUCAUUACAGUGAUUUUUUUUUUUUUAAUUAAUUAAUUAAUUUUUGGCUGUGUUGGGCUUUGUUGCCGCGUGCAGGCUUUCUUUAGUUGCGGCGAGUGGGGUCUACUCUUCGUUGCGGUGCGCAGGCUUCUCAUUGCAGUGGCUUCUCUUGUUGCGGAGCACGGGCUCUAGGUGCACAGGCUCAGUAGUUGUGGCCCACGGGCUUAGUUGCUCCGCGGCAUGUCGGAUCUUCCCAGACCAGGGCUCGAACCCGUGUCCCCUGCAUUGGCAGGUGGAUUCUUAACCACUGCGCCACCAGGGAAGCCGCUACAGUGAUUUAUUUAAUAUAACAGAAACAGAUUUUGUUCCUAAAUUUCCACUCUCACCCUUAUUUUUUUCAUCCCUUAGAACUAUAUCCUGGCUUGAAAUGAAUCAUGUCCUCAGAACUUUAGACAUUAUAGCCAAGAGCCUUCCUCUCAAAAAAUAAAUAAGUAAAUAAAUGCUGUGUUUAUUAAUCAGAUAUGUUAUUUGGGGAGAUGGGAAAAGGAAAGAGAAUGAUAUUGGAAAAAAGAGCUGAACUCACAUUAUACCAGAGAUUUAAAAUUAUCUGUAGUUUCAAUAUAAGUUUCAUAUCAUACAAAAUCUCUUACCAUGAGUAAAAAAAAUUUUUUUUAAGUUUUUUUUUCUAUGAUCCCAUGAAGGUUUUCUAUGACGUUUUAGGCUUUAGAUCUUAAACCCUGGGAUUAUAUCUUAAACAAUUACACAGUGUAGGAAUCCAGGAACUUUUCAUGCCAUGCCUGCUGGCAUAUGGACUUAUGCAGACAUUCUGCAGAGCCAAGUACACAAAUGCCCCAGCAACCCCACUCCUGUGUGUGUAUCUGAGUGACACAAAUCCACAAGGGCACGUGGGUGAGACUCUUCACUGAAGUAUUGUCUGUGGAGGUAGGAAGAGAGAAGCUGGUUCAGUGUCCACUGUUGGGGAACAGGUACAUAACAGGUGGAAGAUGUAAACUAUGGGAUCCUCUUCAGGAGCAGAAACAAGGAACCAGCUGUACACACAGGUGCGUGGAUAAAUCCCAUAAGCAGUGAAGGCAGAAAUAUAGUGACAUGUAGCACAAAGCCACUUAUGCAAUUAAAAAAUACGUGCAUGAAGAACUAUAUGGACACACACAAAUGAGUGCAUGUAAAACUGAUGAAACCCAAAUAGGAUCUGUGGAUUGUAUCAAUGUCAAUUUCCUGGCUUUGAUACUGGACUAGAGUUAUGCAAGAAGUUACCACUGGGGAAACUGGGUGAAGGGUACAUGGGACUCCUGGUCCACUUUUUUUUUUUUGUAACCACCUAUGAAUCUAUAAUUGUAUUUAAAAUUUAAGAAAAAGGUUUAUGCAAAUCAGGAGCAGUAUGUAUAAUAUGUGGACUGUGUGUAAGAAUAUACUAAAAUAUGUCUAUUUAAAGUAUAUAUUUUUAUGUAACCAAUACCUGGGAAAAUACUUAUAAACACAAUAGUUAUAUUUGGGAGUGGGGCUGGGAGACUUGUAUGCUGCCAGGGAGGGUAACCCUGAUUCUCUAAUGUAUCUC
RNA transcript from Balaenoptera ricei (Rice's whale), 5955 nucleotides. It is a transcript of the gene named mannosidase beta, with no coding region annotated. The transcript has 24 exons. The record is from RefSeq and is a predicted model, not a curated record. NCBI's taxonomy places the organism in Eukaryota, Metazoa, Chordata, Mammalia, Artiodactyla, Balaenopteridae.